Molecule: ribosomal RNA, 398 nt
Filed under: uncultured bacterium
Lineage: Bacteria
Description: partial 16S ribosomal RNA
Rfam family: Bacterial small subunit ribosomal RNA
Source: RNAcentral
AUACGUAGGUGGCAAGCGUUGUCCGGAAUUAUUGGGCGUAAAGCGCGCGCAGGCGGUCCUUUAAGUCUGAUGUGAAAGCCCACGGCUCAACCGUGGAGGGUCAUUGGAAACUGGGGGACUUGAGUGCAGAAGAGGAAAGUGGAAUUCCAAGUGUAGCGGUGAAAUGCGUCGAGAUUUGGAGGAACACCAGUGGCGAAUGCGACUUUCUGGUCUGUAACUGACGCUGAGGCGCGAAGGCGUGGGGAGCAAACAGGAUUAGAUAGCCUGGUAGUCCACGCCGUAAACGAUGAGUGCUAAGUGUUAGGGGGUUUCCGCCCCUUAGUGCUGCAGCUAACGCAUUAAGCACUCCGCCUGGGGAGUACGGUCGCAAGACUGAAACUCAAAGGAAUUGACGGGGG